CUCAGACAGUGGGUUUCCCGUUCCCUGGGAAGGCCUUUGUGAGGUCAGAGGUUGGGAGUAGAAAUGGUGGCAGAAUAGUCUCACUAAUUAGUUUGGCCCUGAAUCCUAGAGGUGUGACGCUUGGAGAGGGGGAUUUGGGCACCUUCCCUCUACAGCGGGCAGAGAUAGUACCCAAUGGCACUGAGCAAGCUGUCUAGUGAUUGAGAAAUGGCUUGGGAUACUGAAGCCGGGGAGCUAUGCUGGGUUACGGGAGGAGCCAGGUCUGUGAAGGGCCAGGGUCAUUGCUGGAGCUUCCCAGGAACGGCUGGGAGUCCCACUUCCUAAGACUCCUGCCUAUGGUGAAGCUGAAGUUGGCCACAUCCUCCGUCAGCAUCUUGGUCCCAUCCAACAUGCAAUCUCAGCAGGAAACCCGACACUGCCCCUGUAAUUCAGUCCAUGUGGAAUUCAAUGUCUGUGCCAGCCAGACUCCCUCCUGGCCGCCCUCCCUGGAGUUUCAGUGAAUUGUCGGGAUGAUGCAGGUGGAUUGUGGAGGCUGACGUGCUUUCCAGUGCAGCAUCUUUCCCAAAGCCAUUCAUUAUUGGACGGAAUCAUCUCUUUAACAAGAUGUUCCCCAUGCUGAUUAAACCACGUACCUCCCAACUCUUGCUGCAAAUGCUUUUUCAUUCAUUCAUGAUUCAUUCAUUUAUUCAUUCCGGGUAGAAUGUAUGCUCCUUGAAGGCAGGACUUUUUAAGAAGAAUAAAAUUAAUUACUUUCCCUAACCUACUUCUAGAAGACAAAUGAAGAAAGAAAAGGGGGGUUGUUUAAUAUUUUCUAAUUUGUUCUCAUGGUUUCAUAGUCACGGUCUCAUGUGUUACCCCUAUUCUGGACUUUUGAGAAAUGUGAUCUGGGAGUUUGCUCCUUCAAAUCUAGUCAUGUCAUCUUGGCCCAUGUGCACCCUGCAGGACAGCUUAAUUCUUCAUUUUUGCACCUGCAUAUAAGGUUUUGUUGUCUUUUUUUCCUCUCAAUCGAAGUCAAUAAACAUCCAUUAAGCACCUACUAUGUGCUAAACACUUUACUAAAAACUGGAGAUAUAAAGAAAGUGAAAAAACCAAUCCUGGCUCUUUAGGAACUCACAAUCUGAUGAGUAGAUCCCCACGUAACCAAGAUGCACAAACAAGAUAGAUUUAGGAUAGAUUGGAGCUCAUUUCAGAGGGAAGGAGCUAAGAUUAAGGCAAAUAAGAGAUUCUUCUUAUAGAAAGUGAGAUUUUAAUUGAGACUAGAAGGAAGCCAAGAAAGUGAUAACUUAAGAAGGAGAUUCUAGGGGCAGCUGAGUGGAGCAGUGGAUAGAGGACCAGCCCCGAAGUCAGGAGGACCUAAGUUCAAAUCUGGCCUCAGACAACACUUCUUGGCUGUGUGACCCUGGGCAAGUCACUUAACCCCAAUUGCCUCAGGGAAAAAAAAAAGGAGAUUCUUGAAGAGGAAUGAGCCCUUCUUCCCAUCUCCUUUCCAAGAUGUCACUGUUUUGUUUUUGUCUUUUUAAAGCCCUCUGAAUCUCUCUCUUCUCAUCCCCUCCCCACAUAAUGCAUGUCAAGAAUCCACUCCUCUGCUCCAUCCUGGUGUCCAAGCAACCCUGCCUCAUCAUCAUUAUAGAAGCUGAUUUAAAGCUUUUGUGGGCCUAACCUUGUUUGUUCAAGAACCUAUCCAUCUCUUCCAUUUAUAACCCUGUUGCUAUGAAACCAACUGCCCCCAUGAUGCUGUCACCUAAAGCCAGUUUCAUGGACUCAGUUAACAGCGUGAGGUGGGGAUGUGCCUGCUCUCCAGAUGAUUCUGACCCAUGGGCCAGUUAGAGUUAUUGCUUUUUGCCAUCUGGACACCAUGCUAUCGAGGCAGCCGACGAUGCAGUAGCUUAAUUUAGCCAUCCCAUCACCCUCUUGGCUCGUAUUAAGGUUGUAGUUAAUGAAAACCUUCAGAUUUUUUUUCAUGAGAACCACUGCAAAGUCAGGUUUCUUUCUCCUGUCCUGGAUUUGCCUACAGCAGCACUUAAGAUCAAAUUCUUAAGUUUGUUCCUGUUCCAUCCUGUUGGUUUUGGCUCAGGGUUCCAAUUUGUCAAGACCACUUGGAAUUUUCAUCCUGUCAAUUCUAGCAUGAAUUAGCCCUGUGUCCUCUGAAAAUCUGAUGGCUAUCCCUCUCUACAGGGGCGCAGUAUAUAGGGUGUCAGGCCUAUAAUCAGGAAGACUCACUUCCCAGAAUCCAGCCUCAGCACUUAUUAGCUGUAUGGCCCUGAGCCAGUCACUUAAUCCUGUUUGCAUCAGUUUCCUUAUCUGUCAAGUUAUCUGGAGAAGAAAAGGGCAAAAUACCCCAUUUUAUUGCCAAGAAAACCCCAAAUGGACUGGGAAGAGUCAGACUCAACUGAAAUGACAGAAAAUACACACUACUGACAAUGUAAAAAGUGGGUUCGUUUGGAUUGAUUAAUCCAGGUGGUUUUUCUCUAGUUCAAAUAACCUAGAAACUUCAUAGAAAAAUACUAAAACUUUUCUGCCCUAUUCAUUUCUUGCUGAUAUUGCUGUUGUAUUAAAACAAGAGAUUUUUUUUUCAAGAGAUGCUAUUUUUUGCCCUUUCUCCUUCCCCUUUUCGAUCUUUUAAAGAGAUUUAAAAAUGGCGACUAUCAGCAUUCCCUUCACUGAUGGCAAAUCACAAUCCUGUCACACCUCAGGGAAUAGUUCAGUGUGUUUUGUGGCCAAAAUAUGUCUCUUUGCUUAGGCGAGUCUUUCUGAUUUUAGCUGGAUUGAGCUUUGAAGGUCUGCUCUAAAUCUGUAAUUCUCUUCUAAAUCUAAUCCCUCUGCCAGCCGUUAGAAUGAUCGAAGACAAUUAUUAUCACCCAGUGCUCCAAAUAUUCCCUUUUUGAGAUCAAACAUCCCUAACUCCUCAAUCAGUCCCUAUUCACCCGCCUCUUUAGAUGUUCUCCAGCUUCUCAAUGUCCUUCUGUCUUCAAGCCUUAACCCACUUUUCCAGAUGUGGACAGGCCAGGGCUGGGAGCCCACAUUCCCCUUCCCUGAGUCCCAAGGCAUCUGUGGUGAAACUGGUUUUUUUUGGGUUCUUUUGAUUUCUCCUCUUGGCCAGAGAAGUUGACAUCUGGAAUCUCUAGUAGCAAAAACAUCUGCUGGACCUCUCCUCGCCCUUCGUCAUCCUUUGUUAGAGGCAGUUUUCUGCCUCUCUGUUGGAAAGAUGGUAAUGGGUGACCCAGUAGGAUAGUGACAAUGAAGCUGUGGGAAGCUGACCCCAUACCAGUCUGCAGCAGGUGGAAAUAAAAGCGCUGAAGGUCACCCUAGGGAGAUGUAAGGAUUGACUCAGGGUCUAGAGCCUCUUCAGCUAAUUAUGGUAUUCUAAGUAAUGACACUCAAGGAUCUCAAGUCCUGCCUUCUUCCUUUACAGGAAGAUUUCAGGACUGGGAGAAUACGUUGAUGGCUCUGCGGUCCUAUUGAAGUGGGUGCUUCCUCCCUUGGUACAGAUUGCCAGCGGUGUUCUCCCUUACCCAGAAUGCCAGGAUCUCACAUUUAAAGGACCUAUCCUCCAUGCCCUUCCCCCUUCCUCUCCUUCCCCACUUUGGGUCACUAGACCCCCUUGUUUCUGCUUAAAACCCAAAGUGGUCACACAGCAGCCUGGUUUUAGAGCCAGAAGGGAUCACAGACAUCUGAGCUUUUCUUUUUUACAGUUAAGGAAACGGAGUCUUAGAGGAGUUAGGUGAUUUGCCUAAAAUCACAUGAUCUGAACUCAGAUCAUAGGAUCAUCAAUUUAGAUCCAAUGCGGAUCUCAAAGGUCCUUGAAUCUACUCCCUUCACUUUGAAGAUGAGGAGAUGUUCCUUUCUCUUGAGUGUCCCCCAAGUCCCACCUCUGCAAGAGUUCUUCCCCCCUAAUUACCUUCCAUUUACAUUACAUUCUCCCUGAUUGUGCUCCAUGUCUGGAAGGGUCUCCCUCCUCACAUCCAGGGAGGUCAGCAGCAGGUCUGGCUGCCUUUGAGUUCCAGCUAAAACCCCACCUUUUACAGGAAGUCCAAUGCCGCCAUUCUUUUGAUUAUUUCCUUUUUAUCCUGUAUAUAGCGUUCUUUAGUAUAUAUUUGUUUGCAUAUCUUCUCCCCUGUUAGAGUAUAAGGUUCUUGAGAACAGGGAACUGCCUUUUGUCUCUAUCUAUUUCCCUUAUCUCUUAGUACCUGGCACAUAAUAAGCAUUUAUUAAAUCUUUACUGGCUGAUUAUUAUUCUGCUCUUUUUUCGUGCAUUAGUUCCUGAGUGUUUAAUCAUAUUUCUCUGACUUCUUCAGUCAUCAUUUCUUUUCUUUUUCUGUCUUUCUUGCUUUCUUUUUUUUUUUUUUUUUGCUGAGGCAGUUGGGGUUAAGUGACUUGCCCAGGGUCAAACAGCUACAAAGUGUUAAGUGUCUGAGGUCAGAUUUGAACUCAGGUCCUCCUGACUUCAGGGCUAGUGCUCUAACCAUUCAGUCUUCAUUUCUUACUGAACAAUUAUAUUCUAUUACUUUCAUGUCCAGCUACUUCCCAAUUGAUGGGCCCACUUUGUUCUCAGUUCUUUGCCAUGAAAAAAGCUUUGGUGAAUCUUAUUUGGUAGAAAUAGCCAUAGCUAGCAGUUACAAUUUGCAAAGGGCUUUCCAUGUAUCAUCUAUACCUUGUCUUUGUCUCUCCAGCUCCUAGCAAGGGUGCCUGGCAUUUAGUGAGUGCUUAAUAAAUAUUGGUUGACCAUAAUAUUAUCAUUUGAUCACUUGGUGAAACAAAAGUAAUCCCCAUUUAAUAGAUGAGGAAGCUAAAAUUCUGAAAGUUAGUCACUUGCCUUAAGUCAUACAGCUAAUAAGCAUCAGAGGCAGGAUUUGAAUUCAGGUCUUUUUCAAGUCCACUGCUUUAUUUGCUAUGCCAUCUAGCUGUGGCUAUGCAUUAGAACCUUGUUUUUUUCCCCUUAAUUUUACAUAUUAAUUAAAUUAAAAAAUAUUUAGAGCUUGGUAUACAGUAAGCACUUAAGAAAUGUUGAUUGAUUGAUUGAUAACCUUUGCCUGUAUUAAACAGACACUUGUGCUAUUUCUCUCUGCAUCAGUUCCUGGGAAUUAAUGAAUUGAUGUUCUUAAUUUAAUUGUUACAUAUCAGGAACUUUCCAUUAUCUAUAUUCUAACACCAUUAUUGGUUGUUCAGUGAAUCAGUUUCAUCAUUAUCAUCAUCAUCACCACUAAUAUUUAUAUAGUUCUUUAACGUUUAUAAAGAGUUUUACAUGUGUUAACUCAAGGCAACUCUGGAAGGUAAGUCCUAUUACUAUCUCCAUGUUAUAGAUGUGGAAACUGAGGCACAGAAUGGUUAAAUUCAGGGUCAGGGUCACACAGCUAAGUGUCUGAGGCAAGAUUCAAAAUCAAACCUUCUGAUCGGAGCCCUGGGCUCUAGCCAUUGCCCUUCCGAGCUGCCUCUUUUGGUGAGCUUUUCAUUUCUGUUCUUGUAAAUAUCGUGGACAUGAUACGCUCAGUCCCUUAGCUCGGAAGCAUUGCUUUUGAGAAUGGACGAUGCUGGUGGACGGCUCGGUCCUUUCCCUCCUCAGACCUGAAGAUGAGGCAGCUGUCGGCAGGCCACAAAAGAGCUUUUUUCUCCCCAGUUUAGGACAAAAUGGCUUAGCUGAGGACCGCCACAAACUCCAAUGAGAGACAUCGUGGGGGUAGACGGAAUCGGGAAAGUGGUUUAUUUUUUAAGCCUGGCUUUUGAGAUAACUGUGAAUCUGAACCUAGAUGCAAACAGUGGCAGGCUCUAUAAACACCCACUGCAGCUGCCAAUUAAAAACAGCAGGCUUUGUGCAGGGCAAGCAAAGAAGGCCCGUGGCCCUCAGCCUCCACAAUCAUUACUUUGUGCAGAAACAGCCCAUAUUGUUAGCAUUUUCAACUCUGAGCACACACAGAAGGACCUAGAUCGACACCUACUCGUUUUAAAAAAAGGAAAAAAGUAAAUAUUGAUUAGCAAACUCAUGAAUUUUAAUUCUUUCGGCACUUCUAGAAGGUGUUGGUUUGGCUCAGUCCUGGAAAGUGUUGACUUAGCCUGGGGUUAUGUUGUAAAAAUCCCAACAUGCUUAGGAAUUUUAGCACAUUUCCAUUUUUCUGGGUUGACCUCAUAUCUUUCUUAGUUCCUCAUCCUUCCAAAGUGCAGACUUUUUACAAUAAAAACUAAAUUCUAAAAAAUGGAUUUUCUAAUCGUUCUCCCUUGCUAAUUGUUCUCUGGUGUGCUUUCUCCUCUCACCAGGAUCCAGACCCACCAAGAUACUUUCUGGCCAUCUCCCUGCCCUGAGUUGGAACCAUCCGACUUCUUCCUGCUCCCCCCAAUUCACUUUUUGCCAUUAGAAUGUAAUCUCUUAGAGGACAUGUUUUAAGAUUGUCCUGGAGCCAAUUCUGAUAGAUUGUUAAAUUUGGGGUGUUAACAUUUACACCCCCCAAAAAAACAAACAGUACAAAUCAGGGCUUGAUUUAUUCUUUUCUUGAUAGUCUAGCUUUAAUAAAGUGAUAAAGAUGUGAUUGUUGCAUAUUAAGCUUAAAAGCGUGUUGUCAUUCUGCAUUUACCAGCAUGCAUUUGCCAUCUUGGUUUCUUGUAUUUGUAUCUCUAGUAUGCAACAUAGUGCCUGGUAUAAAGUUAUAGCUCAAUAAAUGCUUCUUUGUUUAUUCAUUCAGUCUUCGUUCUUUCAUUCAUCAUUUAUUCAUGGUUUCACAUACCAGGGACUGAGACUUUCCUGAAAAAGUCUUGAGAUGAGGGUUCAAAUUCUGUUCUUUAUCAUGGAAAGGUUUGCGUUUGUUCUUUCCUUUCCUAACCAAGCAGAGGCUUAGAAAUUAGCUGUCUUUUUUAUGGAGGGAAUUGUUCUGGAAGAGGACCUUGAUCUCAGGGAGGUCAUGAGGUGCAAGUGAAUUGGAUUUAAGCAAGGUUACCUGCCUCACUUUCCCUUCCAGAGCCAUCUGGGUCCAGAGGCCAGAUAUAAAUCAGGAUGACUGGAAAUGGCUCUGGAUUCAAUGAGCCUUUUUAAGCUAAGGUCUUUAACAGGUUUCAGUUGUGUGGCUAUGGGCAAACCACUCAUCCUGUCUGAUCCUGGAUUUCUUUAUUGUACUAUGAUAAAAGUAAUUCUUUUAAUACUUCCUUCGGAAGGAUGUUGCACGGGUCUGGGGCAAGAGGCCGUUUGCAUGGCCCAUUCUAAGUUCUUUAAGAGAGGGCACUUUAGACAUUGAACAUAUUUCAAAUUUAUAAGCCCUAAACUAAUGGAACACACACCAUUAAAUACUGUGCAAAUAUGUGGGAAUUUUCAUUAAGUCUUAGGGAGGGGGUGGUGUCUCACUGAACCCCUUUGUGUGGAUGAAGAAUUGCUGCCAUGCUGGGAAGUCAUUGCCACUUUCUGAGUGGAGUGAAUGAGUCAUUUUGUCCAAAGCUAACACCUGGGGGCUAGUUGUCUAUUAACCAUAAAUGGCGUUCAGUCUUGGUUCCUGUGCCGAUGCCAUUCAUGACCAAGAAAGGAUAUGAAAUGUCCUAAUCUAAGAUAUUUUGUAACCAGAUAGAUUUGCAUUUACCUGUGAAACUUUACUUCUUUUCUCCCUUUUAAAAUGUAUUGAUUUCUUUUAUUUUUGUCUUAAAUUAUAUAUCCCCCCCCUCCAUUCCCACUGCAAAUUCUCCCUUUAAAUUUCCCAUUUACUUCUGAAACAGAGCAUCAGGGAGGGAAAAGAGACAUCAACUGAAUCUUAUCUCGAUAACUCAUUGAGCUUUAAAGCCUGCAAAGUGCUUAACAAAUAUUACUUCAUUUGAUCCUCACAACUUUGGAGGCAGGUGCUAUUAUUGUUCCCAUAUUAUAGAGGGGGAAACUGAAAUGGAAAGGUUAAUAUUGAUAAUAACUGUAAUGUUUAUAAAACACCUACUAUGUGCCAGACAUUGUGCUAAGCAUUUUAAAUUUAUUUUUUCAUUUGAUUCUCACAACAGCCCUGGGACAUUGGUGCUCUUAUACUCAUUUCAUAGAUGGAGAAGCUGAUGCUGAAAGGUUAACAAUAAUAAUAUGAUGAUGAUAAUGAAACAUUUAUAAAUGUGCAAGGCAGUGUGCUAAGUGCUUUAUACUUAUUAAUUAUCUUGCUUGAUUCUUACAAUAACCCUGGGAGACAGUUGCUAUUAUUUCCCCCAUUUUACAGAUGGGAAACUGAAGCUGAAAGGUUUAUAAUAAUAACAUUUAUAAAACACCUAUUAUGUGCCAGACAUUGUGCUAAGGAUCUUAAAAACAUUAUUUUAUUUGAUUCUUACAACAGAUGUGGGAUUAUUAUACUCAUUUUAUAGAUGAGGAAACUGAAGUAAACAGAAGUUAAAUGACCUGUCCAGGAUCACACAGCUAAUAAGUGUCUAAGGUUGGAUUUGAACCCAGACCUGAUUCCAGAUCAGUGUUCUAUCCAGUGAACUGGCAUUCCUCACUCAUAGUCAUUUCCCCAUCUCACCUAUCCCCACUUCCACCCCUGCAUAAAAAAAGGAGAAAGAGGCAUUUUUCUGGCACAUAAUAUGCAUACAUAUGUCUGGUACAUUAUAGGCACUUAAUAAUUGCUUUCUUUGGAGCCAAAUUUAGCAUGCCUUAUAAAGGUCCUUUUGGAUCAUAAAUUAGAAUUGGGAAGGCCCUGAGAGGCCAGAUAGCCCAAUCUCUUCAUUUUCCAGAAGGGGAAACCGAGGCCAGAGAAACGAAUUGCCAGGUCACAAAGGUAAUAAGGGAGAGAGGCCAAAUCUCCUGACUCCAAACUUACAGGUUUUUCUACACACAUACUUUUAGUCAUUCAGAUGUAUUUUGUUAAGUCAGCAUUACUUUUUUCUCCUUUUCAUACAAAUUUUCAAAUCAGCCCACUCAGUCUCCCAGAGUUAACAUGCACUUCCUUCCUGUUCUCAGGGAAGGGCAGAGUUAACUUUGCCUCUCACUGCCAAAAUCCAGACUAACUUUUCUAACUCCUACUUUUCCCUGGGGCCAUGACUUUUCCCCUGUAAUUACUUCCUUCUGUGUAAUUCCUUACACUGAUAGUUUGUGCUUCAGAACUGAAUUAAAGGGUCAUCUGAAAUUAUAGGCUUUCUAGUUCCUCUUAUCAGGGCUCAUGGGUGUUUACAGUUCUACACAUCAUGGAAAAAACUUAUAUUUCUAGUCUGAACAUUUCAGAUUUUCUCUUCCGUGAUCAUGCGGACGGUGAUCUAUCCAUAUUGGAUUUCCCAGUGGCUAUUUCGGUCCAUAAUCUUGGUAACACACACGAAAUGUGGUGUUGGUGAGAUAAAGAUGGGAUUUAUUUCCUACAAGGCUUCUGCAGAUUUAAUUAGAAUCCUGUGAAUUUCAAACCCUCCACUCUCAUUUUUUCUCUCCUCUGAGUAUGGCCUUUGUCACUGCGCAGUGGGAGAUGUGCCCAUGAACCUAACUUUGGAAACGACGAUCCUUCAUGUGUCUCUGGGACUCUUCCUCUGACAGUCUUUCCUAAAAUUAGUUAGACAUCUGAAUUUGAAAACUCAUGCAAAAUCACUUUCAUCUUGGGCUCAGCAUUAGUUAUUUAUAGCAAUGAUAAAUUUGUUUCCAAGUAUAAAACAGAACAUUUUAGCCACUCCCCCCCCUUUCUUCUUUGGCUAAGAGUUAGGAAAUUUUGUUUGGUUGAGAGGUGGCUGGUUUCCCACUGAGCAAUGUAUGAACUUAGCAGCAAUGUCAAAAAUUCAAGCCCCAGAAACAAAACCUUCCUUUCAACCUGCUUACAGUGGCUUAAGUCACACAGACACAGGACACAGAAUCACAGAGCUUGAAGGAGGCCCCCAGGAUGGGUCUUGUUGGCAAAAUAAAGAUGGGAUUCAUAUAAUAGUCCUGCACACUUAGUUAGAAUCCUGUGAAUUUCAACUCUUUCCCUCCCAUUUUUCCCCCUGUAACUAUAGCCUUUGGCAGCAUUACCCUGCUCUAGGUCCAAAGAUGCAUCCUUCAUCCUCUGUUGUAGAUAAAUGGCCCUCUGUCCUAUUUUUUAAAUUCUCCCAGGAUUUAACUUCCACAGUCUUCACCUGGUCUGCCUUUUCUCGGCUUCUAUUAUUCUUGUGAUCGUAGAGCUCCUUAAACUUUUUCCACUCACGAUCCCAUUUUGUCUGAGAAAUUUUCAUGUGACUGGGUAUAUAGGUAUAUAAAAUAGGCAUUCAAAUCAAACAACAACUGAGAAUAAAUCAUAAUUUUGUGAUCCUCACAUUCAGUUUCCCAACCCUGUAUGGGGUCACAGCUCAUAGUUUAAGAAUCUUUGAUCUAGAAAGUUUCUAGUCUAAUUCAAGCUGUGUUGGGGCUAGAAUGCCAAAGACAGCCCUGCCCUCAAGGAGUUUCUGUUCUUCUAGAAGGAGGGAUACCACAGAUCUAAUUGAGUUUUCUUCUUGUAAUUUCUUCUAGCUCAGUCAUCUCCCAGUGUAGUCUAGUAUCCUGUCUGUGCCACUGAAUAGCCACCAUCCUAGUUGCUGAUGUUUAAUAAUGACCAGGAGAUUGAUUUGAAACAGGCCAGUUUCUGGCAGUGAGUUACCUGUAAUUUGGUGAUUACAAAGCCUGUUUGUUGUUCAAUCAGAGGGAAGAUUUGGCCAGUAAUGGCUCUCCCAAAUACCUGCAUGAUUUCAUUGUCUGUGUAUGUGUCACCCAGAAUAACAUGGGUAGUCCUUAGUGGAUGAGAAGAUGCAUUAGAAAAUCAAUCACUGGGAUUGUGCAAAGUAAAGCAGUGUGAUUAUAGAUCUUGUCCAAGUUGAAAAACCCUUCAGAUUAACUUUUUAGAUAAAAUUAUCUAGUAAUCUUAAAAAAAUGGACUUUCUGUGUAACUAAGAUGGGACAAUUAAAGCUUUGUCCCACAGUGCUCAGUUUGUAAGGUGCUGAAUUGUAGUCACUUAACAAAGUGGAAACCAUAGAACUUAGUCUUUAAUUAAUAAGGAUGACUAGUUAAAAUAAGCAGCUACCCAAUGGAAGGAUGAAGGCCAUGAUCUUAUUCCACCUUGCUCUUGUUCUUAUAGUUAGCAUGGUUUACCCAGGUCUCUGUCUUCUUUCCUUCAACCCUCAAUGAAAGGCCUAAUUUGGGGAGAGAGACAGAGACACAGAGAGAGAGAGAGACAGAGAUGUUAAUUGUGCUUUUUUUGUGUGACAGAAUUUUGUAUUUGUACCUUUAGCACUUAAAAUGAUUGACUUUCAUUCAUUUCAGUAAUCUACAUUCUAGAAUCAGAAGUGAGGGAGGCAGUUUGGGUGGGAGACCUCAAAGGCCAUCUACAUCAUUAUUUUUGAGGAAAUGUUUAUUUCCUCUCUACUGAUAACCAUGCUAACCAUAAGAACAAGGGCCCACUUAACAAUCCUAGUGCUAUAGGGCUCUCUAAAGGCACAUUCUUGAUUUCCAGUUGAAAAUGCCAUUUGAGAGACUGUUGUGGAAGUAUUUUGAACUUCACUGAAACUGGAGAUAUCCCAGCUAGAAACGACUGUCCUUAGAAUCAAAUUAGCAAACAUUUAUUAGUCACUUGUUAUAUACAAAGUCUCAAGAAUACCAAAAAAUACCCCAUUAAAAAGCUCCUUCCCUCAAGAACCUUACCUAGGGAAUGUUACAGGGAAGGGAAGUGACAACAUAUCAAUAAGGUUUGAACUUUGGAAGUUGAUGACAUAUCAUCAGGAAGAGUCUCCACCCUAAUAGACACCACAUGCAGGGGGAUUACAAGGUGGACCAUGGGAAAGGGAUUCUCUUUUACACGGAUCCAUUUGUUCAGAUACCAAAGAGUCCAAAGAUCUCAGGACAAGUAAAUGGGAGAUUUAAAGGGAGAAUUCACCUGUUUGCAAGUCUCCUCCUGCAGUAACGUCUUCUCCCCCCAAGGAAGAUGAAAACAGAGGGCAUAAUUAAGAAAUGUGCAUCUGUGUUAACUCUGUAAACAAUGAAUUCCAAGUUAAUGAAGAGAUCUGGCAAUGGGGAAACUUUGGACACAGAGCCAAACUAAAUGUUCAUUAUUGGCUUUAAAGGAAAAUGUUUUCUCACUGAUUUUUAAUUGACAAACAGAACUGGGAAUGGGGAGACCAGCCUGGCUACAGAUGAGCUCUGUGACGGUGGCUAAGCUGCCUCUUCAUUCUGAGCCUGAGUUUCCCUAUCUGUAAAAUAUAAAUGAUCCUACUUGUAAUCAGCUACCUAACAGUGCCUGUGCAGGGGGGCAAGAUAAGGUAUUUAAAACUCUGCAAAACAAAGUGACAUAAAAAUGUCAGCUCUUAUUACUCAGAGCAUUUUUUCUCUGCUUUUUUUUUAUUUUCUUUUGUUUUUUUUAUUUAAUAGCCUUUUAUUUACAGGUUCUAUGUAUGGGUAACUUUAUAGCAUUAACAAUUGCCAAACCUCUUGUUCCAAUUUUUCACGUCUUACUCCCCACCCCCUCCCCCAGAUGGCAGGAUGACCAGUAGAUGUUAAAUAUAUUAAAAUAUAAGUUAGAUACACAAUAAGUAUACAUGACCAAACCGUUAUUUUGCUGUACAAAAAGAAUCAGACUCUGAAAUAUUGUACAAUUAGCUUGUGAAGGAAAUCAAAAAUGCAGGUGGGCAUAAAUAUAGGGAUUGGGAAUUCAAUGUAAUGGUUUUUAGUCAUCACCCAGAGUUCUUUCUCUGGGCGUAGCUGUUUCAGUUCAUUACUGCUGCAUUGGAAAUGAUUUGGUUGAUCUCACUGCUGAGGAUGGCCAGGUCCAUCAGAACUGUUCUCUGCUUUUUUCAGUAAAUUCAGGUAUAAAUGGCCUCUGGGGCAUGUUGCCCUUCUGCUAUUAUUCUUGUAUACUUAAUGUUCUAUAGACCAUGGUGCAGAUGCACCGCUGACUGCUGUUUGUGAUUGGAUUUAAGUGUUGGGGUGUGGACUCCCUCAUCAAAGCAUGGUCCUAACAAUUCCAGUGACAGAUGCCGCUACGUUAGGGACAAGAAGUGCUUUGUCCUGUUCCCACGUGGUUUCUACUUCUUCUAGGGAGCGCUUCUGCUGUUUGGAAUACAUGUUUAAGCUUUUUAAAUACAUUUAUUUUAUUUUUUCUUAUGUUAUUUAUUUUUAUUUUUUUAUUAUAGCUUUUUAUUUACAAGACAUAUGCAUGGGUAAUUUUUCAGCAUUGACAAUUGCCAAACCUUUUGUUCCAACUUUCCCCUCCUUCCCCCCACCCCCUCUCCCAUGGCAGGUUGACCAAUACAUGUUAUAUAUGUUAAAUUAUAUGUUAAAUCCAAUAUAUGUAUACAUGUCCAAACAGUUAUUUUGCUGUACAAAAAGAAUCAGUCUUUGAAAUAGUGUACAGUUACCCUGUGAAGGAAAUAAAAAAUGCAGGCGGAUGAAAAUAGAGGGAUUGGGAAUUCUAUGUAGUGGUUCAUAGUCAUCUCCCAUUAAAUACAUUUUUAACUGCCUACAUUUCCAAGCACAACCUGUACCUCCUUGACUUUGGCCCUGCCACUGGAUUUAGAUGACUGGAAGAAAGACUGAGGCUGAUGAUGUUGUACAUUGUCAUCUCACUUAAAUACAAUUAAUGAGAAAGUCAAGACAUUCCCAUGAUGUCAUUGGUCCUCCUUGAAAAGGAAGGACAAACAAAUGCAUUUAUCUAUCUUCUAUUAAUCUGUCAAUUAAUCUCUCUAUAUCUACUUGUCUCUUCCCCUCUCUAAUCUCUUUCUUUCUUUCCUUCUUUCUUUUUCUUUCUUUCUUUCUCUUUCCUUCCUUAUUUUCUUCUUUCUUCCUUCCUUCCUUCCUUCUUUCCUUCCUUCCUUCCUUCCUUCUUUCCUUCCUUCCUUCCUUCUUUCCUUCCUUCCUUUCUUCUUUCUUUCUUUCUUUCUUUCUUUUUUUCUUUCUUUCUUUCUUUCUCUUUCUUUCUUUCUUUCUUUCCUUCUUUCCUUCCUUCCUUCCUUCCUUCCUUUCUUUCUUCCUUCCUUCCUUCCUUCCUUCCUUCCUUCCUUGCCUCCUUUCUUUCUUCCCACCUAUCUAUCUAUUUACCUACUUCCUACCUACCUACCUAUCUAUCUGUCUUUCAUCUAUCUAUGUAAAAUCAGUCAACAUCUGCAUCCAUUAUCAUCUGUCUGUCACUUUAUCUACCUUUCCCAAACAUGAUCACUCUAAUUUUGUAGCAUUCUGUUUGGUUUGCUUUGUCAUUAUGUUUGCCAUUUACCUUGACCUGGUCAUUGUAAGUAAUGUUUACCUGCUUUUGCUGAUCACAGGACUGCAUCAAUCGUUUCCAUGUUUUAAGAUUAGAUUUUCUGACUCUUCUGCUUCAUUCUCUCCACAUUUAAGUAACUCUUGGAUUCUUGCUCUUAUUCCAUCUCUUCUGGACUGGGAAGGGGGAAUUAUUUCUUGUGCUUGCCCUGCAUGGUCCCAUAAUAUGGGGUUGUAUGACUUGGUGCUGAAAAGACUGCUGACAAAAGACAGAUGAAGCCCUUGCACUUCACUGGCAAGAUGUGUUUGCAGUGUGGGGAUGAAGUCAUAUUGGCCCAUAAGAAAGUGUCCAUUAUCUUGUGUCCAUGUCACGUGCACUUGUGGCUCGCCUGCUUCAGUGGCUGCUGAGAUCUGCCCCAAGGCAUUUUCCUGGGAUGUUGAUAUACAUGGCUUGUUCCAACAUUUCUCAUGAUCCAGACCAUGGCCGAAUUCUACUUGCUUUUGCAUCCUGAUUAUCACAGCGAGUCCCAGUGGGGCCAGCCCACAACUCCACACUGCCCUAUCUGUUUCUUAAUUCACAGGAGCAGUUAUGUCCCGUUAGAAGAGUUGUUUGGUCAGCCAGUGACAUUGCUAGAGCUCCCUAGAUCAGCUUCUCAGACUUUCAGAUGUAUUGGGCUUGAUGUCAGGGCACAUAGAGCUCUUGUCCUACAUUUCUCUGGCUGGCACUCUUGUACUUUGCCAUUACAUCCUUCCCUAUGACAUGCUUUGCAUGCUUAUUAUUAUUGUUAUUAUUGAUAGUAUUGAUAUUAGUAGUAUCAAUUCUUGAAUAAAACAAUUCCACCUUCUACAAGAGAUGGGAAAUUGAUGUUGAUAGGGGACGAUAUCUUGUCACAGGAAUUUCUCCCGUCCUCUGGGAAAGUCAAAAUCAAUUGGUGGCCUUUAAUAUUACCAUGCUUAAUAAGACUUUUCUAUUUUUUUUUAAACUUUACACAAUGGCUGGAUAAGUUAGAAAUUCUUUUGGCCUAUGGUUUAAUUUUUUUUCUGAGAAUAAAUAUACUCUUAGACUUCCUUGCUUGGAAUUAUGCUUUGGAGCCCUUAAAAAUUUUCAUUAUCUUCUGUGCUUCUUAAUUAGCUCUUUUAUGACUCCGGUGUGUACAUGUAUUGGUUCAAAUGUUUGUGGAAUGCCUACUAAGUAUAAGAUACCAUCAGUUCUUGUUUUAAAAACACAAAUUUGUUCCAACGUGGUUGAUAUAAUAGGGAAGAUUUUGAAUAUAACACACAUUUCAGGUUUGCCAAUAUGCUAUUUCUUUCUCAAGAAUACAGAAAACUGUACAAUAUCUCACAUGCUUCAGUGAUUCCACAAGCAAACUUCAGAUGUCUGUGAAUACCUAAAGUCUUACAAAGAUAAAGUGUCAUAUGUUUUAUGUAUCUUAUCACACAUAUAUUAAAUAUUAUAUACAUAAAGUGUCAUAAACUAUACAUCUUAUCACAUACAUAUUGUGUAUCUUGUCAUAUAUAUAUAUAUAUAUAUAUAUAUAUAUAUAUAUAUAUAUUUAUAUAGUACAUGGACCUUUU
Molecule: long non-coding RNA, 15677 nt
Filed under: Sarcophilus harrisii (Tasmanian devil)
Lineage: Eukaryota; Metazoa; Chordata; Mammalia; Dasyuromorphia; Dasyuridae
Description: lncRNA (ENSSHAG00000024423.1)
Source: RNAcentral